AGACAAUAAAAGGAUUGUUGGAUGCCCUAAUUGUGAAGAUGAAGAUGAGCAUAAUGUUGUUUAGUUUUGGCUAGUGAAACGAAAGCCACGCGAAUUCCCUGUCUACUCAGUACUUUGAGGUUUUUAGCAAGUGUUUGGGAAGUCAACUAAUUUGAUGACUCUGCAGGGAU
Molecule: long non-coding RNA, 170 nt
Organism: Impatiens glandulifera
Lineage: Eukaryota; Viridiplantae; Streptophyta; Magnoliopsida; Ericales; Balsaminaceae
Exons: 3
Source: RefSeq, a predicted model, not a curated record